GUGGGGAAUAUUGGACAAUGGGCGCAAGCCUGAUCCAGCCAUACCGCGUGGGUGAAGAAGGCCUUCGGGUUGUAAAGCCCUUUUGUUGGGAAAGAAAUCCUUUGGGUUAAUACCUCGGAGGGAUGACGGUACCUGAAGAAUAAGCACCGGCUAACUACGUGCCAGCAGCCGCGGUAAUACGUAGGGUGCGAGCGUUAAUCGGAAUUACUGGGCGUAAAGCGUGCGCAGGCGGUUUUGUAAGAUCGAUGUGAAAUCCCCGGGCUCAACCUGGGAACUGCAUUGGUGACUGCAAGGCUGGAGUGCGGCAGAGGGGGAUGGAAUUCCGCGUGUAGCAGUGAAAUGCGUAGAUAUGCGGAGGAACACCAAUGGCGAAGGCAAUCCCCUGGGCCUGUACUGACGCUCAUGCACGAAAGCGUGGGGAGCAAACAGGAUUAGAAACCCCAGUAGUCC
Molecule: ribosomal RNA, 450 nt
Filed under: uncultured bacterium
Lineage: Bacteria
Description: partial 16S ribosomal RNA
Rfam family: Bacterial small subunit ribosomal RNA
Source: RNAcentral